This 253-nucleotide ribosomal RNA is filed under the name uncultured bacterium. RNAcentral describes it as "partial 16S ribosomal RNA". It matches the Rfam family "Bacterial small subunit ribosomal RNA", at positions 524 to 776 of the family's 1533-position model. The record is from RNAcentral.
UACGUAGUUGGCAAGCGUUGUCCGGAUUUACUGGGCGUAAAGAGCGCGCAGGCGGUCGUUCAAGUCGCGUGUGAAAGCCCCCGGCUCAACUGGGGAGGGUCACGCGAUACUGAUCGACUCGAAGGCAGGAGAGGGUAGUGGAAUUCCCGGUGUAGUGGUGAAAUGCGUAGAUAUCGGGAGGAACACCAGUGGCGAAGGCGACUACCUGGCCUGUUCUUGACGCUGAGGCGCGAAAGCUAGGGGAGCAAACGGG